This is a long non-coding RNA of Oncorhynchus tshawytscha (Chinook salmon), 5018 nucleotides long. The record is from Ensembl. NCBI's taxonomy places the organism in Eukaryota, Metazoa, Chordata, Actinopteri, Salmoniformes, Salmonidae.
AUGAGACUCUUUGGCUCUGACCGUCUCCACAAGCAUGUUAUAACCAUGUGGGAUUCACCACAUCCUCCUGACCUUGGCUUUGCGGUACUGGCUGUAACCUCACUGCCUCACUGUGGCCCUAAUGUUUCUUCUGGCCGUGUUACAGAGGCCAAAGUAAGCUCUGUGGCGAUCGGGGUGGCUGUGGGAUGCACCUUCCUUGCUCUCCUCAUCGUCAUCGGCAUUGUGCAGUUCUGCUGCAAUCGAUCCUGGAAGAAAUGCAGGAAACGCUGCAAGAGAAAUGAGGCAUCACUGAAAGAAAAAGUGCUUACGUGAGUGUGUUGACAACCAGUUAACUAAAUGGGGAUGGUAAUGGUGGUAAAUCGUUCCUCUACAGAAUUGCACUCCCUCUGUGUGAACUGUGUGUGAGAGAUGUGUUGUUUAUUAAAUUAUCUGAUGUGUGUGUCUACAGGAAGUUUGGCCAAAAUAAGUCUCCCCCUCCCUUCUCCAUCAGUGGCUGUUUGAAGUAGAGGACCUGCAACACACAGGAGAACAUCUGUUGAUUACAUUCUCUUUCUUUCUCCCUCUCUUGCUCUCUGAUAUUGAUCUAACAGUCAUGUAUUUGAACGUAAUACUCUGUCUCCUGUGAAUAUAGCGCAGUAUGUCUCUGUAGAGAGAGCAGCAGUAGCCUCGAAGUUAUAGAAGCGGGCCAGCAACCGGAGGGGUGCCACCUACUGCUAAUGUUCCUUUGGAACUUAACCCCCUAAACUGUUAUUUUGGGCUAUGCACUGCCGGUGCCCUCUGCUCCAGCCUCUCCAACCUUGUGUAUAUACAAUGACUUAAAGUAUUCAGACCACUUGACUCUCCACAUUUUGUUAAAUUACAGCUUGUCCAAAAAUGUAUUAAUUAGUUUGUUUACUCAUCAAUCUACACACAACGCCCCAUAAUGACAAAGCAAAAACAGGUUUUUAUGGGAAUCUUUUUUUAAAUGGCGGCAGGGUAGCCUAGUGGUUAGAGCGUUGGACUAGUAACCGAAAGGUUGCCAGUUUGAAUCCCCGAGCUGACAAGGUACAAAUCUGUCGUUCUGCCCCUGAACAAGGCAGUUAACCCACUGUUCCUAGGCCAUCAUUGAAAAUAAGAAUUUGUUCUUAACUGACUUGCCUAGUAAAAUAAAGGUAAAAUAAAAAUAUAAAAUAUCACAUUUACAUAAGAUUUCAGUUCCUUUACACAAUACUUUGUUGAAGCACCUUCGGCAGCAAUUACAGCAUCGAGUCUUCUUUGGUAUAACGCUACAAGUUUGGGACACCUGUAUUUGGAGAGCUUCUGCCCUUCUUCUUUGCAGAUCCUCUCAAGCUCUGUCAGGUUGGAUGGGGGAGCGUUGAUGCAUUUUUUCAGGUCUCUCCAGAGAUGUUUCGAUCUGGUUCAACUCCGGGCUCUUGCUGGGCCACUCAAGGACAUUCAGAGACUUGUCCGAAGCCACUCUUGCAUUGUAUUGGCUGUGUGCUUAGAGUCAUUGUCCUAUCGGAAGGUGAACCUUUGCCACAGUCUGAGAUCCUGAGCGGUCUGGAGCAGGUUUUCAUCAAGGAUCUCGCUGUACUUUGCUCCGUUAAUCUUUGCCUCGAUCCUGACUAGUACCCUAGUUGAAAAACUGUGCUGAAAAACAUCACCACAGCAUGAUGCUGCCAUCACCAUGCUUCACCGUAGGGAUGGUGCCAGGUUUCCUUCAAACGUGAUGCUUGGCAUUCAGGCCAAAGAGUUCAAUCCUGGUUUCAUCAGACCAGAUAAUCUUGUUUCUCAUGGUCUGAGAGUCUUAAGCGGACUGUCAUGUGGUUUCCGUCUGGCCACUCUACCAUAAAGGCUUGAUUGGUGGAGUGCUGCAGAGACGGUUGUCUAUCUGGAAGAUUCUCCCAUCUCCACAGAGGAACUCUAGAGUUCUGUCAGAGUGACCAUUGGGUUCUUGGUCCACCUCCCUGACCAUGGCCCUUCUCCCUCGAUUGCUCAGUUUGGUCGGGCUGCCAGCUCUAGGAAGAGUCUUUGUGGUUACCAACUUCUUCCAUUUAAGAAUGUCGGAGGCCACUGUGUUCUUGGGGACCUUCAAUGCUGCAGACAUUUUUUGGUACCCUUCCCCAGAUCUAUGCGUUGACACCAUCCUGUCUCGGAGAUCUACGGACAAUUCCUUCGACCUCAUGCCUUGGUUUUUGCUCUGACAUGCACUGUCAACUGUGGGACCUUAUAUAGACAGGUGUGAGCCUUUCCAAAUUAUGUCCAAUCAAUUGAAUUUACCACAGGUCGACUUCUAUCCUCAAAAACUCAAGGAUGAUCAAUGGAAACAGGAUGCAUCUGAGCUCAAUUUUGAGACUCAUAGCAAAGGGUCUGAAUACUUACGUAGAGAAGGUAUUUCUGAUUUCUAUUUUGCUGAGGAUUUUAAAAAAUGUAAAUACAUUUUAGAAUAAGGCUAUGAAAAAAAGUCGAGGUCUGGCCUCCCGAGUUGAGCAGCGGUCUAAGACACUACAUCACAAUGCUAGAGGUGUCGCUACAAGUCCGGGUUUGAUCACAGGCUGUGUCUCAGCAGGCCGCGGCCGGGAGACCCAAAUGUCUAUCUCGUGUGGACCAAUAAAAUGUACCUUAUCUUAUACUUACAUAGCAUAGCCUUUGUGUCCCAUGAGUAUGUCACUGUAGGCUGAUGCAGAGUAAUGGAGGAGCGUGUGUUUUAAAGUAUGGCUCGGGUACGCUCACAUAAGACUGAGCGUAUCGGUUAUUUCAAAGUUUCUAAUGCUCUCUCUCUCUCUCACUCAUAUCUCACCACACAAACCUCAAACAACUCACUCUCUCUUCCGGCCCACGUUUAAACAUGAGGUCAUACAGACAGGGGAGUUGAUUUGAACUUUGUUGUAAUACCACAUUAGGUUUCUUUCAUAAUAGAAAAUGAAAUAAGAAAUGUAACCACUAUUCAACUGUCACGGGUUUGUCCUCUCUGGAUGAAGAAAGAAUGGCGGGUUAGGGUGUCUCUAUAGAUUGAGGAAAACACAGAGAAGUGUGAGACUCAGAGGAUGGUUGUGGAGGAAAGAGUACUGAUGACGAAAAGGAGAAUGGCGCAUUGGCGGCUAGUCAACAAGCUAACCACAGAAACUCACACAUCAUCUUUCUCAUAAGCUGGAGGUAAAGUUCCUCUAAAGUCUCAUUUUAGGUCAGUUUGAUCGUUUAAACAUCAUAUUUUUUUGUUGUCUUUGUCCCACUUAUCUCUCUCAUAUAUGUUUCCAUAACGUUUAAUGACAGAUAACGCUCAUUUGUAAAUAAAUGUGUGGGUAAAGUUUUUUAUUUUAUUUUUUAAAGUGGAUCAUAUUUCGUUGAAGCCUUGGUUUUCUUAUACAGUAUGGUGUAGUUGACAUUUUUUUAUUGAAAAUAUUUCCCUUUCUGAUAUUGACUGGCUAUCUUCCUCUAAGACCUUGUGGCCUUUCCCCUGUGUGUGUGUGUGUGACAGAACGGAGAUCGACGAGCGCAUUACAUGUACAGAACUGCAUAGAACACAGGAUCUAUGUUGAUAAUCAGGGUUAAUAUAUUCACAGUAGGCAGAUCAUCAGUUUGCUCCGACGAGGGAGAGGGUCUCUGUUAUACAGCAGCUUUUCUUGGGAAAUGUUGCACUACUGUACUUGUCACCAAUACGUUUACAUACUAAUGGUCCGUCCCAAUGCCAUACAUACAGCAUGAUGUAUUUUCAUCUGCCCAUUUCCCCGACCCUGCUGUUUUCUGUGAAACUCAUGGCAAUUUUGGGAACCUGGCGGAGGUGUUGUGUGAGUUUCAAAGAACCUUAUAAGACGUUGAAAAGAAAACUUAGGCUUUUAUAUUUUUUUUAUCUGUGGUUGAGCGAGUUGGAGUGUUAUUCUUGUGAUGGUGAGAGUUUUUAAGGCGGUGUGUUUACCAUAACAGGUGACACUGCCCUGUGGGUGAUAUACCAGGUCAUCUAAGGAGGAGAUUUAAAAAAAUACACAAAAAAUCUCUUCUCCCUUUUAGGGCAGACAAUAGCUCCUGACCCUCAUGGCUGCUCUACCGGUCACAGAUAUGGCCUAUAGGCGUACCACCAGGGCGAUGUGUCACAGUAUGUAGAAAUUGUAUUCCAUAUGUUUGAUACAUGUGAAAUGACAGUUAAAAUUCAGCAUGUGAGGACUACAUUAAUUCUGGUAAUGUCAAGUGUCUUCUUGAUUUUAGUGAGAAAGUGCAAAUAGGAAAGCGGGAUACCUAGUCAGUUGUACAACUGAAUGCCAUCAACUGAAAUGUGUGUUCCAAAUACCUGUACUCAAUUCUGAUCUUUUCUAUUUCAAUAAAACUAGGAUAUAAUGUGUAACGGGUGUUGUAUGUUGGUGAAUUAAUAUAGUUGGAGUUGUCUGCUUGUCAUUUGAUAAGGUGUUCCCCUGAUAAAAGCAUUAUGUGUAGUGUUAGAGACUUAGACACUUCCUCUUUCGGUCUCCCCCUAUCUAUUCUGUGCAACCGCUGAUCUAGUUGAGAAUCUAAUUUGGAAAACCGCUCAUCGAAUACAGAAUUUCCCCAGUAUCAUUAUUUUUGCAUGUGUGGAAUUCCUCCUGUAUCUCUGUGAUAUGCCAUGUCAUGCUGGAGGAGGUUUCAUCUUCCGUCCCACUCUGUCCUUUUUCAUCAUUUUGACUGACUCAUACCUUCGCUCCGCUGUAUAUUCUACAGAUAUUGAGUGCUACUUCACAUAGCGUACAUACUGUAUGUCUGUUUAACCCCCGUUCACACACUGUGUGUCUGUUUAACCCCCGUUCACACACUGUAUGUCUGUUUAACCCCGUUCACAUACUGUAUGUCUGUUUAACCCCCGUUCACACACUGUGUGUCUGUUUAACCCCGUUCACACACUGUAUGUCUGUUUAACCCCCGUUCACACACUGUGUGUCUGUUUUAACCCCGUUUCACACACUGUAUGUCUGUUUAACCCCGUUUCACAUACUGUAUGUCUGUUAAUGUCUGUUUAACCCCGUUCACCACUGUGUGUCUGUUUAAACCCGUUCACACACUGUGUGUCUGUU